AAGGUACUCCCUCCGUUCGGAAUUAUUUGUCGUAGAAAAUAAAUGUAUCUAGACAUUUUUUAGUUCUAAAUACAUCCAUUUCUGCGACAAAUAAUUCGAAACAGAGGGAGUAGAUA
Triticum urartu is the source of this 116-nucleotide non-coding RNA. The record is from Rfam. Lineage: Eukaryota; Viridiplantae; Streptophyta; Magnoliopsida; Poales; Poaceae.